AGUGAACGCUGGCGGUAGGCCUAACACAUGCAAGUCGAACGGCAGCACAGUAAGAGCUUGCUCUUACGGGUGGCGAGUGGCGGACGGGUGAGGAAUACAUCGGAAUCUACUUUUUCGUGGGGGAUAACGUAGGGAAACUUACGCUAAUACCGCAUGCGACCUACGGGUGAAAGCAGGGGAUCUUCGGACCUUGCGCGAUUGAAUGAGCCGAUGUCGGAUUAGCUAGUUGGCGGGGUAAAGGCCCACCAAGGCGACGAUCCGUAGCUGGUCUGAGAGGAUGAUCAGCCACACUGGAACUGAGACACGGUCCAGACUCCUACGGGAGGCAGCAGUGGGGAAUAUUGGACAAUGGGCGCAAGCCUGAUCCAGCCAUACCGCGUGGGUGAAGAAGGCCUUCGGGUUGUAAAGCCCUUUUGUUGGGAAAGAAAAGCAGCAGGUUAAUACCCCGCUGUUCUGACGGUACCCAAAGAAUAAGCACCGGCUAACUUCGU
Molecule: ribosomal RNA, 491 nt
Filed under: uncultured bacterium
Lineage: Bacteria
Description: partial 16S ribosomal RNA
Rfam family: Bacterial small subunit ribosomal RNA
Source: RNAcentral